GUUGAGGGGAAUGUUGUCUGGAUCGAGGAUAUUAUAUAUAUAGCCAUACAUGUAUAUAACUGAUCGUAAUACGUAUAUAGAGAGUAUCCUCGGACCAGGCUUCAUCCCCCCCAAC
Molecule: microRNA precursor, 115 nt
Filed under: Eutrema salsugineum
Lineage: Eukaryota; Viridiplantae; Streptophyta; Magnoliopsida; Brassicales; Brassicaceae
Description: mir-166 microRNA precursor family
Rfam family: mir-166 microRNA precursor family
About the family: This family represents the plant microRNA (miRNA) precursor mir-166. Animal miRNAs are transcribed as ~70nt precursors and subsequently processed by the Dicer enzyme to give a ~22nt product.
Source: Rfam by way of RNAcentral